Molecule: transfer RNA, 78 nt
Filed under: Streptomyces roseicoloratus
Lineage: Bacteria; Bacillati; Actinomycetota; Actinomycetes; Kitasatosporales; Streptomycetaceae
Description: tRNA-Arg
Rfam family: tRNA
About the family: Transfer RNA (tRNA) molecules are approximately 80 nucleotides in length. Their secondary structure includes four short double-helical elements and three loops (D, anti-codon, and T loops).
Source: RNAcentral
GCCGCCGACCUGGGAAGACACCGGAAGUGGCGACGGCCUCCGGAGCCGUGUGCGCAGGUUCGAAUCCUGCCGGGGGCA